CAGCAGCCACGGUAAUACGUAGGUGGCAAGCGUUGUCCGGAAUUAUUGGGCGUAAAGGGCUCGCAGGCGGUUUCUUAAGUCUGAUGUGAAAGCCCCCGGCUCUACCGGGGAGGGUCAUUGGAAACUGGGAAACUUGAGUGCAGAAGAGGAGAGUGGAAUUCCACGUGUAGCGGUGAAAUGCGUAGAGAUGUGGAGGAACACCAGUGGCGAAGGCGACUCUCUGGUCUGUAACUGACGCUGAGGAGCGAAAGCGUGGGGAGCGAACAGGAUUAGAUACCCCCGUAGUCCCUGUCUCUUAUAC
Molecule: ribosomal RNA, 301 nt
Filed under: uncultured bacterium
Lineage: Bacteria
Description: partial 16S ribosomal RNA
Rfam family: Bacterial small subunit ribosomal RNA
Source: RNAcentral